GAUGAACGCUGGCGGCGUGCCUAAUACAUGCAAGUCGAGCGAACGGACGAGAAGCUUGCUUUUCUGAUGUUAGCGGCGGACGGGUGAGUAACACGUGGAUAACCUACCUAUAAGACUGGGAUAACUUCGGGAAACCGGAGCUAAUACCGGAUAAUAUUUUGAACCGCAUGGUUCAAAAGUGAAAGACGGUCUUGCUGUCACUUAUAGAUGGAUCCGCGCUGCAUUAGCUAGUUGGUAAGGUAACGGCUUACCAAGGCAACGAUGCAUAGCCGACCUGCGAGGGGGGUCGGCCGCCCUGGAACUUGACCACCGACCAGGCUCCUAAGGGAGGCACCAGUAGGGAAUCUUACGCAAUGGGCGGAAGCCUGACGGAGCAACCGCGCGUGAGUGAUGGAGGUCUUCCGAGCGGAAAACUCUGUUAUUAGGGAAGAACAUAUGUGGAAGGAACCGUGCACAUCUUGACGGUACCUAAUCAGAAAGCCACGGCUAACUACGUG
Molecule: ribosomal RNA, 497 nt
Filed under: uncultured bacterium
Lineage: Bacteria
Description: partial 16S ribosomal RNA
Rfam family: Bacterial small subunit ribosomal RNA
Source: RNAcentral